GAUGAACGCUGGCGGCGUACCUAACGCAUGCAAGUCGAACGGGGAUUGAGUAGCAAUAUUUGAUUCGAGUGGCAAACGGGUGAGUAACACGUAGGGAUCUACCUUGAAGUGGGGAACAACGGACCGAAAGGUUCGCUAAUACCGCAUGGGGUCGUGAGACCAAAGGGGAAUUCUAACGAAUUCUUCGCUUUGAGAGGAGCCUGCGUUCGAUCAGGUAGUUGGUGAGGUAACGGCUCACCAAGCCGAUGACCGAUAGCUGUUCUGAGAGGAAGAUCAGCCACACUGGGACUGUGACACGGCCCAGACUCCUACGGGAGGCAGCAGCGAGGAAUAUUGCACAAUGGACGCAAGUCUGAUGCAGUAACGCCGCGUGGGGAAGAAGACCU
This 386-nucleotide ribosomal RNA is filed under the name uncultured bacterium. RNAcentral's name for it is "bacterial SSU rRNA". It matches the Rfam family "Bacterial small subunit ribosomal RNA", at positions 28 to 417 of the family's 1533-position model. The record is from RNAcentral.